CUGGAGGGAAUAUUCACCUUCUUGAAUAUUUAUCCCGCCGCCCCCAGGCGGGUGCUGCCCCGCCACUCGCACCUCUCGGCCUCGCAGCGCGGCGGCCUCUCUCGUGCCUUGCUUUCGCCUUCAAAAAUAAAGUGAAUGGCCUCCUCUUCCCCCACCCCCCCGUCUCUUUAUUUUUUUCCUCGUUAAAUCAGAGCUAUCUGGGGGUAAAAAAAAAAAUAAAAAAAGAGGAAAAAUAAGUGGCUCCUCCUUGAGUUGUCCCAAUCAUUAGGUGAAGCCAAAGCAAGCUCUAGGAUGAGUCCAGCCCAGCAGCAGGCGGGUAGGCAUUUUUUUUCUCCAUUUCUUUCUUAUUCUUCUCUUUUUCAUCCCACCUCUCCCCCCCACCCCCCAACCACACACACCCCGUCCUCUUAUCUCAGCUGUGUACAAACUGAUACGGUACUUAGCAGGAAAGUGACUGGAAAUUAAAAUAACUUCGUUCACCAGGGGUUAUCAGCUGGAUAUCUGUCAUCAUCAGUUUGUACAGAAAGAGUCCUCCGCGGCAAGGGCUGGGCUAGAGCGGAGCCGGGCUCCCCGCAGCCGGCCGCGCUGCCCCCCGGCACACGCGGCUCCCAAGCCGCCGGGCUGCUCGCGGGCUCCGAGCGACUCUUCCAAGGCAAGGUGAACGGGAGGCGAGGCGUUUGCAGCACCGGGGAGGUUGUAAAACGCCGCCUGAGGGGCAUGAAGUGCCUGCAGCCCCUGGCAGGAGGUUGGAGACAGACGCAGGGAAGUGAGGCAGCAGCAAACAUUUGGAUUCUCUCUCACACUCAUCGGCAGGUCUGAGGAGGACGUAGGAAAGUGCGUGCAGCGGGUGUUUGGGGGCAUAUGGUCAUUGGUUUUGAUGGCCUCAAGAAGCACAGCUGAGGGAAGCUGUCAGCUUUCCCUCCAAAUGCCCUUAACAUGAUACCCCAGUGCAGUACAACUCCCCACAGGUCCCCAGCCUGUCUGUAAUGAUCACAGCUUUAAGUAACAUUAUAUAAAUGAAAAUGUUUCAAUUUCUACACAAUGUUAAACUCCUUCCCUCCAAAAACUCUCACAUCUGUCAAAACAUUUCCUUUUAUCCAAAAUAAAGCCUUUCACUUUC
This is a long non-coding RNA of Rhea pennata, 1120 nucleotides long. RefSeq lists it as uncharacterized. The record is from RefSeq and is a predicted model, not a curated record. NCBI's taxonomy places the organism in Eukaryota, Metazoa, Chordata, Aves, Rheiformes, Rheidae. The transcript is spliced from 2 exons.